CAGAAGGGUGGGGAGCGGGUGCAGCCGCGCAGGAUCCGUCGGCUCAUCGAGUCCACAUCGGCACGAGCACCGCACCUGAACACUCACUGUGCCGCCUCAUGCCGUCAUGGGCGCAGUCGUCGCUCGCCUCGCUCGCCGCGCGAGAUUUGGCGGCGCACAGAAGGCAUAGGAUCUCGGCAGGUGCUAGACAGCAGCUCUGCUAGGUGGUCACCGAUGGGGCGACGGCGUCGAUCUCGGCCUUGGCGAUGGCGGAAAGGACCGAGAGGGUCCGGCGUCAAGGUGGGCAGGUCCCGCGCCAACAGCAAGUAGAUGCCAUUCGCGCAAGCGGAGUUGGAAAACCCCCACACCCCACCCCACCCACCGGCAUCUGCAGCUUCCGUGCCCCCUCCUGCUCCUUCCUGCUCCCUAUUGCUGGCACCAUCAACCUUCCAUGGAUGAUGCCCUCAUUGUGUUCGAUCAAAUGUGCAUAAAGGCACACUGUUUCAGGCUCUCUGAUGCAGGCAGGAGGUGGCUAGCCCUUCCAGUAUAAAACAGUUAUGUGCUGAAGUGCAAACACUAAAAUUGGAGGAUCGUUAGCUCGGCCCUUUCUGAUUUCUUAUCUGAACUGAUGAAGAGUUACAAGACCUGUGUAGCAUCUUCAUUGUGAUGUCACUAUACCAUUCUCAAGUAUGGAUCUCUCGGAAAGGCAUCGUCAAGUGUGAUGUGUUUGGUCCUAUAUCCUAUGUUCGUUGGAGAGAUGAGCAUCUGGCAGUGGGUUUCUCAAGCAUUACGAAAACUUGCCUCUGUUCUGGACAAGCAGCUACUGCAAGAUGCUUGCUCCCUCUACCUGCAACCUGAACGAGUUUCUUUCAGCAAUAUUCAGAUUAAAAUACUAA
This is an RNA transcript of Panicum virgatum (switchgrass), 875 nucleotides long. RefSeq lists it as uncharacterized. The record is from RefSeq and is a predicted model, not a curated record. Lineage: Eukaryota; Viridiplantae; Streptophyta; Magnoliopsida; Poales; Poaceae. The transcript is spliced from 4 exons.